AGCCACUAGUUUACCAGUUGUCUGACAAGGCAAUGCUGGGCAGCCACGCUUUAAGGGAUAAAUGCUGAAAGCAUCUAAGCAUGAAGCCCACCCUAAGACGAGGCAUCAUAGAACUCGAAUAAAAGAUUCGUUUGAUAGGGCUAGGGUGUAAG
Molecule: ribosomal RNA, 152 nt
Filed under: Thermoplasmatales archaeon SG8-52-1
Lineage: Archaea; Methanobacteriati; Thermoplasmatota; Thermoplasmata; Thermoplasmatales
Description: partial 23S ribosomal RNA
Rfam family: Archaeal large subunit ribosomal RNA
Source: RNAcentral